AUUGAACGCUGGCGGCAGGCCUAACACAUGCAAGUCGAACGGUAACAGGAAGCAGCUUGCUGCUUUGCUGACGAGUGGCGGACGGGUGAGUAAUGUCUGGGAAACUGCCCGAUGGAGGGGGAUAACUACUGGAAACGGUAGCUAAUACCGCAUAACGUCGCAAGACCAAAGAGGGGGACCUUAGGGCCUCUUGCCAUCGGAUGUGCCCAGAUGGGAUUAGCUAGUAGGUGGGGUAACGGCUCACCUAGGCGACGAUCCCUAGCUGGUCUGAGAGGAAGACCAGCCACACUGGAACUGAGACACGGUCCAGACUCCUACGGGAGGCAGCAGUGGGGAAUAUUGCACAAUGGGCGCAAGCCUGAUGCAGCCAUGCCGCGUGUAUGAAGAAGGCCUUCGGGUUGUAAAGUACUUUCAGCGGGGAGGAAGGGAGUAAAGUUAAUACCUUUGCUCAUUGACGUUACCCGCAGAAGAAGCACCGGCUAACUCCGUG
This 490-nucleotide ribosomal RNA is filed under the name uncultured bacterium. Its description in RNAcentral is "partial 16S ribosomal RNA". It matches the Rfam family "Bacterial small subunit ribosomal RNA", at positions 30 to 507 of the family's 1533-position model. The record is from RNAcentral.